RNAcentral lists this ribosomal RNA (591 nucleotides) under uncultured bacterium. Its description in RNAcentral is "bacterial SSU rRNA". The stretch from base 1 to 521 matches the Rfam family "Bacterial small subunit ribosomal RNA", at positions 338 to 873 of the family's 1533-position model. The record is from RNAcentral.
CCUACGGGAGGCAGCAGUGGGGAAUCUUGCGCAAUGGGCGAAAGCCUGACGCAGCAACGCCGCGUGCGGGAUGAAGGCCUUCGGGUUGUAAACCGCUUUUAACAGGAACGAAAAUGACGGUACCUGUAGAAUAAGGUGCGGCCAACUACGUGCCAGCAGCCGCGGUGACACGUAGGCACCAAGCGUUGUCCGGAUUUAUUGGGCGUAAAGAGCUCGUAGGCGGUUCGAUAAGUCGGGUGUGAAAACUCUGGGCUUAACCCAGAGACGCCACUCGAUACUAUUGUGACUAGAGUUCGGUAGGGGAGCGGGGAAUUCCUAGUGUAGCGGUGAAAUGCGCAGAUAUUAGGAGGAACACCGGUGGCGAAGGCGCCGCUCUGGGCCGAAACUGACGCUGAGGAGCGAAAGCGUGGGUAGCAAACAGGAUUAGAUACCCUGGUAGUCCACGCCGUAAACGGUGGGCACUAGGUGUGGGCUCCAACCAACGGAGUCCGCGCCGUCGCUAACGCAUUAAGUGCCCCGCCUGGGGAGGUACGGCCGCGAAGUAAACUACAANAGAUAGAGCGNGAGAGNGCGAGACGACACGAGGGAGAG